RNAcentral lists this ribosomal RNA (487 nucleotides) under uncultured bacterium. RNAcentral's name for it is "partial 16S ribosomal RNA". It matches the Rfam family "Bacterial small subunit ribosomal RNA", at positions 30 to 507 of the family's 1533-position model. The record is from RNAcentral.
AUUGAACGCUGGCGGCAUGCCUUACACAUGCGAGUCGAACGGCAGCACGGGUGCUUGCACCUGGUGGCGAGUGGCGAACGGGUGAGUAAUACAUCGGAACAUGUCCUGUAGUGGGGGAUAGCCCGGCGAAAGCCGGAUUAAUACCGCAUACGAUCUACGGAUGAAAGCGGGGGACCUUCGGGCCUCGCGCUAUCGGGUUGGCCGAUGGCUGAUUAGCUAGUUGGUGGGGUAAAGGCCUACCAAGGCGACGAUCAGUAGCUGGUCUGAGAGGACGACCAGCCACACUGGGACUGAGACACGGCCCAGACUCCUACGGGAGGCAGCAGUGGGGAAUUUUGGACAAUGGGCGAAAGCCUGAUCCAGCAAUGCCGCGUGUGUGAAGAAGGCCUUCGGGUUGUAAAGCACUUUUGUCCGGAAAGAAAUCCUUGGCCCUAAUACGGUCGGGGGGAUGACGGUACCGGAAGAAUAAGCACCGGCUAACUACGUG